GACGAACGCUGGCGGCGUGCCUAAUACAUGCAAGUAGAACGCUGAAGGAGGAGCUUGCUCUUCUGGAUGAGUUGCGAACGGGUGAGUAACGCGUAGGUAACCUGCCUGGUAGCGGGGGAUAACUAUUGGAAACGAUAGCUAAUACCGCAUAAGAGUAGAUGUUGCAUGACAUUUGCUUAAAAGGUGCACUUGCAUCACUACCAGAUGGACCUGCGUUGUAUUAGCUAGUUGGUGGGGUAACGGCUCACCAAGGCGACGAUACAUAGCCGACCUGAGAGGGUGAGCGGCCACACUGGGACUGAGACACGGCCCAGACUCCUACGGGAGGCAGCAGUAGGGAAUCUUCGGCAAUGGACGGAAGUCUGACCGAGCAACGCCGCGUGAGUGAAGAAGGUUUUCGGAUCGUAAAGCUCUGUUGUAAGAGAAGAACGAGUGUGAGAGUGGAAAGUUCACACUGUGACGGUAUCUUAACAGAAAGGGACGGCUAACUACGUG
This 495-nucleotide ribosomal RNA is filed under the name uncultured bacterium. RNAcentral describes it as "partial 16S ribosomal RNA". It matches the Rfam family "Bacterial small subunit ribosomal RNA", at positions 28 to 507 of the family's 1533-position model. The record is from RNAcentral.